UGGGGAAUAUUGCACAAUGGGCGCAAGCCUGAUGCAGCCAUGCCGCGUGUGUGAAGAAGGCCUUCGGGUUGUAAAGCACUUUCAGCGAGGAGGAAGGUGGUGAACUUAAUACGUUCAUCAAUUGACGUUACUCGCAGAAGAAGCACCGGCUAACUCCGUGCCAGCAGCCGCGGUAAUACGGAGGGUGCAAGCGUUAAUCGGAAUUACUGGGCGUAAAGCGCACGCAGGCGGUUUGUUAAGUCAGAUGUGAAAUCCCCGGGCUCAACCUGGGAACUGCAUUUGAAACUGGCAAGCUAGAGUCUCGUAGAGGGGGGUAGAAUUCCAGGUGUAGCGGUGAAAUGCGUAGAGAUCUGGAGGAAUACCGGUGGCGAAGGCGGCCCCCUGGACGAAGACUGACGCUCAGGUGCGAAAAGCGUGGGGAGCAAACAGGAUUAGAUACCCCUGGUAGUCCAGCGCUGUAAAACGAUGUCGAUUUUGGAGGUUGUGCCCUUGAGGCGUGGCUUCCGGAGCUAACGCGUUAAAUCGACCGCCUGGGGAGUACGGCCGCAAGGUUAAAACUCAAAGGAAUUGACGGGGUCUAGCUG
RNAcentral lists this ribosomal RNA (584 nucleotides) under uncultured bacterium. RNAcentral's name for it is "partial 16S ribosomal RNA". It matches the Rfam family "Bacterial small subunit ribosomal RNA", at positions 355 to 926 of the family's 1533-position model. The record is from RNAcentral.